ACGCUCGACACCUACGGGAGGCAGCAGUGGGGAAUAUUGCACAAUGGGGGAAACCCUGAUGCAGCGAUGCCGCGUGAAGGAAGAAGUAUCUCGGUAUGUAAACUUCUAUCAGCAGGGAAGAAAAUGACGGUACCUGACUAAGAAGCCCCGGCUAACUACGUGCCACAGCCGCGGUAAUCUGAGCGGGCUGGCAAGGC
This 197-nucleotide ribosomal RNA is filed under the name uncultured bacterium. RNAcentral describes it as "partial 16S ribosomal RNA". It matches the Rfam family "Bacterial small subunit ribosomal RNA", at positions 328 to 539 of the family's 1533-position model. The record is from RNAcentral.